Long non-coding RNA from Suricata suricatta (meerkat), 2785 nucleotides. RefSeq lists it as uncharacterized. NCBI's taxonomy places the organism in Eukaryota, Metazoa, Chordata, Mammalia, Carnivora, Herpestidae. The record is from RefSeq and is a predicted model, not a curated record. The transcript is spliced from 2 exons.
GGUAUGGAAGCUUCGCAAGUGUUAAGUGGCCCAACAUCACACAGUGAGUUUAGUGGCAGGGCCGGACUGGAAUGCAGACUCCCACUGCUGCUCUUUUCCUUCCAGAUCCUUCCUGCUUCCUCUACUGCUCCUUGAGAUCCCGCUGACACCACUGAUACUGGACAUGUGACCUCACUUGCAUCAACCAGAGUGGAACUCCUGGCAAGAAGGAACAGAGGUGCUAGCUGGUAGGACAGACACAGCCAUCCUACUAUCUGUACAAGGAGAAACGGGCUCGGGGAGAGAAGCUACCACAGAAGGGAGAAAAGCAAGGUAGGGGAGAGAUAAGAGUCCAUAUAACAUGAUUUGAGUCCCUGGACUCAGCCAUGUCUAAAACCAGAUGGCACCCCCUACCUUUCCGUUACAGGAGCCAACAUCCCCUUCGGUAUUUGCGCUAGUUUGAACUGGGUGUGGGAAGGGCUCUGUCAAGGAGGUGCAGCCAAUCCAUGUGGGCUUCUAAGGAGCAUGUCCCCCCACCACCUGCAGACUAGACCCCGUCCCUUUGGUGUUCACAUCAUACCUCCAUGGCCUUCUUCAAUUGCUUGGCAUCGUAAUGGGCCGGUGGCAUCAUGAGCCCCAGAAUCAGCCUCGCCAGGUCUCCAGAGAUCUCAGACUUCAGGUCGGCCAUCAGGUCCUACAAAUGGCAGGGGUGAGGUCAUGCCAACAUCAGCACUUGCUCACAUGUGACCCAGGAUAGGGAGGAGCAUGGAAUGAGGAAAUGGGGGCUCCAUGUGAAUGCAGGGGAUGGAGGGAGACUGUGUCUGUCUUUGCUGCUGUGUUUGUCUUUGUUUACUAUUUAGAGGACGCCAAAGAGGGCAGGAUUAAAUAAAAAACAACAAACAAGCAGAGGGAAGACCCAUUCUCCAUGGAGGCAAGGAGGCGGGCAAGGAAAGGGGCAGUGCCAAGGGAGAUCGUUUCCAUCCUAGGGGAAAGCCGCCAGCUGGACACCAAGGCACAACCAUCACUGACGCUCAGCCUUGGGGCCUGAAGCCUCUGAAACUCCGAGAUCCAGAAAAUGCUACAUGAAAACAACUCGUGUCUUUCAUCUCUGCCCCCAGCUGAGCCAUUCCCACAGGAACCCUAUGUUCUUCCUCUUCAACCCCCUAGAAACUGGAGCCCAGAUCCUUCUAACCACAGCCCGUCGACUCUGGGGACAUCAGGAUACCACUUCCAGCCUCUCAGCUUAAUGCCUUGGACCUCAGACCUGGCACAGACCCCUCCUUUCAAAAGCACUUUUACCCCUGUUAUUUUAUAGUCCUAGAUAUGCUCGGUAGAUAUUACCAUUCCUGGGAAACAAAUGAAGAUAAGGCCCAGAAGGGACAGCACUUAAGCCAAGGUCCCUGGGAGGUGCCGUUAGACGGAUGAGGGGAGAAAGGAUGAUGGCAGCCAAAUGCUGGCUGCUGUCCCUGCUGGCCUUUCUGAGAAGAGGGCAUCUGUCCACAGAGUGGUUCUUCCCACUCGUUCCAAAUGGAGGAUGCGAUGUGAUAACCAGCAGGGGGCGCUCCUAGCCCCGAACUGGGGCUCUUGGAUCAAUGGGUCCACAUCUCUUCUUUUACACACCCGGGGAAAUGGACACUUGGAAGGGUUGAAGGACUUGCCUAAAGUCACACAGUGAGCCUAAGGCAAAGCUGGCAGGAGAACCCAGGCCUUAUGACCUAGUACUUCCUUCUGCAGUAGGACAGCUCUAGAAAGGGCUUGGGCCAAGUUCCUUACAAGCCUUCCUUUACUCCCUUUCUAUACUCAGGGAGCCAGGAGCCUCCUUGGGAGGGUGGAGACUUAUGUAAAAUCUGCCUCAUUCUACCGACCCUCCUUUGAGGCCUGAGCUCUUACUCCUGCCUGGCGCACUGCCAAACCUGCCACACCUGCUACCCCAGAGGCCAACCCGCCCCCUUCGUGUCCCCUUACCAAGUCCCUUCAUGGCCUUCCUCAGCGCUUUGGCAUCGGCGUCAGGGUUGAAGUUAUCAGCUGGACGCACUGUUCCCUUCAGCUGCAAGAAGCAGGAAGAGACUCAGCAGGUGCCUGCGGGCCCCCCUGGGGGCCAAGCCAUGAGAGGAGCAUGCAAGGGAGGGGGUGCUUUCCCCACGAGCCCCAAACCAAGCAGCUUGGGGGGAGGGAGGCAGGAGUGAAGGCACAGCAGACAGGCCCCUGCCCUACAGCUGAGAAAGGGAGAGGAGGAGAGACAGACCCAGGCCUGGGAGCAGGGCAAGUGCUGGUCAGGGGAGAAGUGGGCAGCUUCCUGCCCCAGGAAGUUGCUCUGUCCUAGCUCCACUGGAGCCUCCCAGUCCCUCAGAACUGUGCCCUGUCCCCAAGGCCCUCCUGCCUCUUCAGGAGCCCCUCCCUGUGACAAGGCAACCAAAUUAUCCUGAAAUACCAGAACAGAAUCUCCCAAAUUUCAGUCACUCCUAAGUGAGGUCCCUAAUGUUGCCAUAUCUGCAUAACAUCCUAUGCUCUUCCUUCAUAUUUUUACGUAAUUCAACUUCUUUUCUGUUUUAUGUUAAGUGCAUCCAUUUUUAAGUAUAUUUAAAUACUCCUAAAGGGCAAGGGGUUUUGUUCAUUAUGUCCUUGGACAUAUCCAAAGGAUCUACAACACAAGUAAGCACCCAAAAAAUAUUUGCCUAAUGAAUGAAAAUAACUUUUCAUCACUCUCAUGAAGAGAAAAUUGGUAUGAUGUGCCAUAAACAGAUGAUAACCCAUGAAAACAAAUGUAAGAAGGAGAAAAAAAAAACCCACGUUGUGUCAAAUAUCA